UACGAAGGGGGCUAGCGUUGCUCGGAAUCACUGGGCGUAAAGCGCACGUAGGCGGCUUUUUAAGUCAGGGGUGAAAUCCCGGAGCUCAACUCCAGAACUGCCUUUGAUACUGGGAAGCUUGAGUCCGGAAGAGGUGAGUGGAACUCCGAGUGUAGAGGUGAAAUUCGUAGAUAUUCGGAAGAACACCAGUGGCGAAGGCGGCUCACUGGUCCGGUACUGACGCUGAGGUGCGAAAGCGUGGGGAGCAAACAGG
Molecule: ribosomal RNA, 253 nt
Filed under: uncultured bacterium
Lineage: Bacteria
Description: partial 16S ribosomal RNA
Rfam family: Bacterial small subunit ribosomal RNA
Source: RNAcentral